UUGACCUCGAAUCAGGUAGGAAUACCCGCUGAACUUAAGCAUAUCAAUAAGCGGAGGAAAAGAAACCAACAGGGAUUGCCCCAGUAACGGCGAGUGAAGCGGCAACAGCUCAAAUUUGAAAUCUGGCUCUCGGGCCCGAGUUGUAAUUUGUAGAGGAUGCUUUUGGUGAGGUGCCUUCCGAGUUCCCUGGAACGGGACGCCAUAGAGGGUGAGAGCCCCGUCUGGUUGGACACCGAUCCUCUGUAAAGCUCCUUCGACGAGUCGAGUAGUUUGGGAAUGCUGCUCUAAAUGGGAGGUAUAUGUCUUCUAAAGCUAA
This 316-nucleotide ribosomal RNA is filed under the name Fusarium sp. 16004. RNAcentral's name for it is "eukaryotic LSU rRNA". It matches the Rfam family "Eukaryotic large subunit ribosomal RNA", at positions 1 to 319 of the family's 3401-position model. RNAcentral also lists the same sequence under 1 other name. Lineage: Eukaryota; Fungi; Ascomycota; Sordariomycetes; Hypocreales; Nectriaceae. The record is from RNAcentral.